Molecule: long non-coding RNA, 255 nt
Organism: Hippopotamus amphibius kiboko
Lineage: Eukaryota; Metazoa; Chordata; Mammalia; Artiodactyla; Hippopotamidae
Exons: 3
Source: RefSeq, a predicted model, not a curated record
CGCGUUGCUGCCUCCAGGGACUCUCCCAGGGGAGACCCGCGCGCUCCUGGCCUCGAGGAAGUCGCGGUGGGAACAAUGGACUCAGACCCCACCCUGCUCAUAAAUGGAGGAGCUUUGGUACCUACACCACAGGUGGAUGUGAGGAUUAAAUGAGAUCAUCUAUGUGGAAGAACAUAUCCCUGGACACAAGUGAGAAGAGUGAGGACGGUGUGGGCGAUUGGAAAAUGCCCACCCCCCUCAAGAUAUGUCGACAGC